RNAcentral lists this ribosomal RNA (868 nucleotides) under uncultured archaeon. Its description in RNAcentral is "bacterial SSU rRNA". It matches the Rfam family "Archaeal small subunit ribosomal RNA", at positions 1 to 878 of the family's 1478-position model. The record is from RNAcentral.
UUCCGGUUGAUCCUGCCGGACCUGACUGCUAUCGGAUUGGUACUAAGCCAUGCGAGUCGUUGUAGCAAUACAAGGCGGACGGCUCAGUAACACGUAGUCAACCUAACCUAUGGACGUGGAUAACCUCGGGAAACUGAGAAUAAACCGCGAUAGAUCAUUAUGCCUGGAAUGGCUUAUGGUCCAAACAGUUUACUGCCAUGGGAUGGGACUGCGGCCUAUCAGCUUGUUGGUGAGGUAAUGGCCCACCAAGGCUAUAACAGGUACGGGCUCUGAGAGGAGAAGCCCGGAGAUGGGUACUGAGACACGGACCCAGGCCCUAUGGGGCGCAGCAGGCGAGAAACCUUAGCAAUGUGCGAAAGCACGACUGGGUCAGUCCGAGUGAUUCCUGAUAAAGGAGUCUUUUAUCUGUCCUAAAAGCACAGGUGGAUAAGGGGUGGGCAAGUCUGGUGUCAGCCGCCGCGGUAAUACCAGCACCUCGAGUGGUCAGGACGUUUAUUGGGCCUAAAGCAUCCGUAGCCGGCUUUGCAAGUCUCCGGUUAAAUCCACCUGCUCAACAGAUGGGCUGCUGGAGAUACUACAAAGCUAGGGAGUGGGAGAGGCAGACGGUAUUCAGUGGGUAGGGGUAAAAUCCUCUGAUCCAUCGAGGACCACCAGUGGCGAAGGCGGUCUGCCAGAACACGUUCGACGGUGAGGGAUGAAAGCUGGGGGAGCAAACCGGAUUAGAUACCCGGGUAGUCCCAGCUGUAAACGAUGCAAACUCGGUGAUGCAUUGGCUUAUGGCCAAUGCAGUGCCGCAGGGAAGCCGUUAAGUUUGCCGCCUGGGAAGUACGGACGCAAGUCUGAAACUUAAAGGAUUGGCGGGGGAGCA